AGAGUUUGAUCCUGGCUCAGAUUGAACGCUGGCGGCGUGCCUAACACAUGCAAGUCGAGCGGUAACAGGUGUAGCAAUACACGCUGACGAGCGGCGAGCGGGUGAGUAAUGCUUUGGAAUCUUCCCAGUAGUGGGGAAUAACCAGUCGAAAGAUUGGCUAAUACCGCAUACGUCUGUGAAGAGAAAGCGGGGGAUCGCAAGACCUCGCGCUAUUGGAUGAGCCAAAGUCGGAUUAGCUAGUUGGUGGGGUAAUGGCCUACCAAGGCGACAAUCCGUAGCUGGUCUGAGAGGACGACCAGCCACACCGGAACUGAGACACGGUCCGGACUCCUACGGGAGGCAGCAGUGGGGAAUAUUGGACAAUGGGGGAAACCCUGAUCCAGCGACGCCGCGUGUGUGAAGAAGGCCUGCGGGUUGUAAAGCACUUUUAGUGGGGACAAAAAGUCACGGGCUAACACCCUGUGAUCUUGAUUUAACUCACAGAAAAAGCACCGGCUAACUCUGUGCCAGCAGCCGCGGUAAUACAGAGGGUGCGAGCGUUAAUCGGAAUUACUGGGCGUAAAGCGCGCGUAGACGGUUUGGUAAGUCAGAUGUGAAAUCCCCGGGCUCAACCUGGGAACUGCAUUUGAUACUGCCUGGCUAGAGUAUGGAAGAGGGAAGUGGAAUUUCCGGUGUAGCGGUGAAAUGCGUAGAUAUCGGAAGGAACACCAGUGGCGAAAGCGACUUCCUGGUCCAAUACUGACGUUCAUGUGCGAAAGCGUGGGGAGCAAACAGGAUUAGAUACCCUAGUAGUCC
RNAcentral lists this ribosomal RNA (795 nucleotides) under uncultured bacterium. RNAcentral's name for it is "bacterial SSU rRNA". It matches the Rfam family "Bacterial small subunit ribosomal RNA", at positions 8 to 796 of the family's 1533-position model. The record is from RNAcentral.